CUUUUCCAUUCAAAUCUAAUGCAUAAUUAAUUGCAGGAUGUGAUAAACCUUCCCAGAUUUAAGAUAAAUUCCAUAAUACUGAACAAUAAACCAAACUUACUAGACCUCCAGAUGUCUUUUUAAAAUGCUUGUUUCACAGAAAUUUAAUUAGAUUGAUUAGGAUUACUGAGCUGUGCAUAUGAGAAUCCCCUAAAGGCUUUUCCUUCUCAAGAGAGGUUUCUACAAUAAUUAAACUGUAGCAGGACACUCAAUUGGAACUUUUAAUGGUCACCCCUGCCAACUAACGAGGGAGAAAAGAAAGCAGAAGAUAUAACUUCCAAAAGCAAUGCAAGCAGAAAAACACGUUCUUUAAAAUGAAGAGAUGACCUGGGAAAAGAUAAAAGGAACACUGAUUAUUUAAGUAUUGAAAAGGUUGCUGAAAUCUCCCAUAGCAGGCUUCUUCAACAGUAGCUAAAAUCAGCCAUAUUUUCAUGUUCUUGAUUCUGGAGAAGCAGUAGAAGCACUGACAUAAUGGAAGCUGCUGGCAUCAAGACCAUCUCAGUGAAAACUUCGGACAGGUAAAGAAAAGCUUUCCAAUCUGAAUGCAGUGCUGUGAUCCAUCUCGGUCACUGGGGUGACUCAUUCUCUCUCAUUUUAUUGAACGUAACAAUAUACCACAGCCAAUUUCAUGUACAGCAGGACUCUGGCAUACAAUCUGGAAUGCUGAGAAUAAAAGUAGACUUCUUUCUGUUAAUUAUCUGCUGAGGAGAAUUACUUAAAUUUUGUUGAAGCACUGUAUGUUUAAGACCUAAUAAAGAAGUGCAAGAUGAAG
Molecule: long non-coding RNA, 811 nt
Filed under: Gallus gallus (chicken)
Lineage: Eukaryota; Metazoa; Chordata; Aves; Galliformes; Phasianidae
Description: lncRNA (ENSGALG00010002086.1)
Source: RNAcentral